This 65-nucleotide transfer RNA is filed under the name Parvasolenaia rivularis. RNAcentral's name for it is "Solenaia rivularis tRNA-Pro". Lineage: Eukaryota; Metazoa; Mollusca; Bivalvia; Unionida; Unionidae. The record is from RNAcentral.
CAGAAAAUAGUUUAACAAAAACAAAAACUUUGGGAGUUUUAGACUUAGGCACUCUAAUUUUCUGA